RNAcentral lists this long non-coding RNA (1577 nucleotides) under Homo sapiens (human). RNAcentral describes it as "HSALNT0323669". Lineage: Eukaryota; Metazoa; Chordata; Mammalia; Primates; Hominidae. The record is from RNAcentral.
CUCUCUCACUCUCUAAGGCUCACUAUAGGAAAAUAUAACAUUAUGAAUAAAAAGUGUUGCUCACUUUUGAACUGCAAAGCAAAAUUUAGUAAAAGUAUACGCUGAUGCUUAUCAUCUAAGCAUGAUCCGUUACUUCAUGGGAGUUUGGUUUUCUUAAACGUUAAAAAAAAAGAUUAUCCUAGUCAUAGCUACAAUUGCUGAGAUAAAUCAAAGACACCAUUUCACUUCUUCGUAUUAUCAAAAUCCACAUGUUGUUGCCAAAAUAGACACGUGCUCAUUUUUCCAGGGGUCUUUUUAGGAGGGAAGUCCCUGCAAGACGUUAUCACUAAUUUGCUGCCAGUAAAUGUGUGGUACAAACCAGAAUUUCAGUUUGACCCUUGAUUUUAUAAUUUAAUACCAAUAUUACUUACAUUAUUAGUUUUACUGGUAAAUCAGGAGUAAGUUGUUGGAGUCCAGCUGUGACCCCAGGGCAAGAACUUUUUGCCUGCUGUCACCUUCUGACAGUUUAGGCUGUUAAUUACCUCCAUCAACUAGAACACAAGCACCUCUCUGUCUGCCAGCUGGCAGGCUGAGCUUCAGAAAUUGGCAGCUUGGGAAGAUCUAAAAAGCUGUAAAGGGGGCUGCUAUGUAAACAGUUUAUUGUACAAUAUUUGAUGACCACAGUAGGCCCGCAUCAGUAAUCAAAGGUAGGCUCCGCUAUUGGGCAUUGAUCGGUUAGCAAAGAAGAAAGUUUAAAAUAGCUUUUGUUUCUAUGUUUUUUAUCCGGCAGAGUGAAACUAAGGGUUUAGUUCUGGAGGCAUUAUGUUGGUGGCCGUGGGAGGAAGUCAGUCAAUCAUUUAGUUCUGCUGAGAUAAGCUUGGACCCAGUCGAAAGAAAGGAAGAGGAAACUUUGACUCAGACACAACACAGAGGAACACCAUGUGAAGACAUGGAGAGAAGACAGCCAUCACCAUGCCAAGGACUGAUGAGACAGCAGUUUUUUCUUGACUUUCAGAGAAACUGAACAGUGUGAAUCCACUCCCAAAAUAAGAAGAACCUUUAUUUGGUGAGCAGGCCACCGAAUUUUGUUGGCAUUUAUCAACCACGUCCCUGCUAGUGAAGGUGUCACAGCAUCACAAUCUGGGCUAUUGAGACUGAAACAUCUGCCACGUCAACCAACAGGACAGCACCUGUGUAGUGAGAGCUGAGGACAUCAGAAAGCAAGGGCACUCAUGUUAAAUCCUGACCCAACCCAGUGGCAAAUGGCAGAGAAGUCCCUCUAUCACUGGGCUACAUUCUGCUAUGGGUUGUGUCACUGGGGAGGAACAUGGAGCUUUGGGACUUCAGUGCCGGCCCAUUACUCCAGAAGAUGACAUUCUUUCUAGUUUACAAGACUUCAAGCAAACCUGCCCUUAUCUUGAUUGAGUACUUAUAAGAAUGUUUGCUUCAUGAAGGCAGGAAUUUUAUGCCUUUUUCACUUCCAUAUUUCUAGCCCCUAAAUAGUAAAAUAGUAGGCUCAAGAUAGAUACUUGUUGAAUGCGGUUUAAUUAUGAAAAUGCCUGAUUUUCCUACUGAGAUGAGUGACAACCACUUUCAGG